CAAAGGUAUUUAUGCAUUUUUUUUAACCUUUAUGUAGAACAAGUUCUAUUUUGUAAGGCAUAAAGCAAAGUUUCAGAUUAGCCUGUGAAGACUGCACAGGCUUAUCCAAAACAACACUAUGCACAUGCAUUAAGUUCAGUUUUCCCAUAAGCGCUCAAUUGAAUUGAAAUUGCAGCCCACCUGAUAGACAGUGUGGCUGCCCGGGUGGGUGUGUAGAGUGAGACCAGCCAUAGAUACAUCCAGUCUGCCCUUCAGCAUCUCCGCAUUGUUGCACUGCGCCAUGUACUGAGGCCACAAAGACUUUCAGACUCACCUAUAACUAGGAGGUCCAUGUGGCUGCCCAACCAUGCACACAGGCUCUGAGCCUGUGAACCCGUAACCCUCCACCUCAGGUGGGAACUGGCUGCCUAGGUAGAUGUAAUGAACGUCCGGCGGUGGUGUGGAGCGGGUCACAGAGUGGUCAGUCUGGGGCCGCAGGCACUGCAUGUACUGGGGAGGUGUGGUCAACAUGUGAGACCAUUUCAGCACCUGCAGUUAAGUUUAAACCUAUUUAUCUAAGCUCAAUUGCAUUGAAAGACUAAGGCUUAUUGAUACCCUUUUUAGUCUGAUUACUGGUUUGAACCAGUGUGUUGUGUCUUUUGAGGAGAUCUAAAGAACGCCUCCACAGUGGAGAUCCAACAUGGAACCACCUGACGGUUACACUAAAAUCGACUUCAUCUAACAUGGCUAAUUGAAUAUAAAUUGGGACUUCAUUUAAAUGUUGAAUACUUAAAGUUUGAAAUUUCCUUGCCUUUGAUAUAAACAGUUUUGAGAUAAAUAUAAACAUAUAACUUAUGUUUAAGUAUAAGUGUAUUUAUAAGUGUUUUUUUUCACCCAAUGUUAGUUUUGUUAACUGUAGCAAGCAUUGACUUAUUUUACUGAUCAGGGCAUUUCCUUAGGAAAAGUUUGACAGUGUUCACAUCAAAAUGAUGGAUAUUGAAACAAGGUUCGCCAAAACAGUUUAGUGUUUAAAUACAUCCAUCAAAGAUUGAAACAUUUUGAAAGUAUAUGUUGGCAUUGAAAAGAAGGAAAUCAGCUGAGAGGAGCAGAAUCCCACACCUGCAAUCAUAUCUCACACCUGCAAUCAUAUCUCACAAAUGCAAGGAUAUCUCACUCAUGCAAGGAUAUCUCACACCUGCAAACAUAUCUUACACAUGCAAUCAUAUCUCACACCUGCAAGCAUAUCUCACUCCUGCAAGUAUAUCUCACACCUGCAAGCAUAUCUCACACCUGCAAGCAUAUCUCACACCUGCAAUCAUAUCUCACACCUGCAAUCAUAUCUCACAAAUGCAAUGAUAUCUCACACAUGCAAUUAUAUAUCACACCUGCAAGCAUAUCUCACACCUGCAAUAUCUCACACCUGCAAUCAUAUUUCACACCUCUAAGCAUAUCUCAAACAUGCAAUCAUAUCUCGAACUGCAAUCAUAUCUCACGCCUGCAAUUAUAUCUCACUCCUACAAUCAUAUCUCACACCUGCAAUCAUAUCUCACGCCUGCAAUCAUAUCUCACACGUGCAGUCAUAUCUCACACCUGCAAUCAUAUCUCACACCUGCAAUCAUAUCUCACGCCUGCAAUUAUAUCUCACACUGCAAUCAUAUCUCACACCCACAAUCAUACAUCACACCUGCAAUCAUAUCUCACACCUGCAAUCGUAUCUCACACCUGCAAUCGUAUCUCACACCUGCAAUCAUAUCUCACACCUGCAAUCAUAUUUCACACCUGCAAUCUUAUCUCACACCUACAAUUAUAUCUCACACCUGCAAGCAUAUCUCACCGGACACCUUGGGAAGCGCUGAUCCAUGAGCAUGAGGCUAUAGUCUGUGGCAAGGAUGCUGUACAGACUGCUGGCAGGGUGGCGCCCACAAGCUCGCAGUCUCUCCCUCUUGUGCAGACUGGAGUCUGGAAGGCAGAACAGGUCCACAGCCACCUGCGUCUGAAUAGGUCAAUCAUUUGAAGGGCAGUCUGGUCACAGAACAGGGCCUGUCUCGGGUGGCCACCAUACUGGACCCAGCUCCAAGGGUCACUGACCGGGAACCGUGGCUGCUGUCUGGCUGACCAAGGAACCAGCUGUCUGUCUGUCCACUCGUAAACCAUGCCUGUGUCUGUACUGACCAAACACUCACCUGGGAUGUAUGGGCUUAAUGGAAGUGAAAUAAUUCAAUAUAAACAGACAUCUGAUAAUUAUCAAUUUGCUGAAAGGCAAACAUUUGAAGCCACCCUUUGCUUAAACACCGGAGAAGCAGUAUAAAAGGCCACAAACUCACAAAAUGUCUACUUUUCAGUUGUACACUGGUGUGUAAACAGCAGAAAACAAAAAUGAUUAUUUUCAAAAUGUUUAAGUUUCUAUUGAGUAUUUUCCGAUGAAAUUUGGCAUACAUAUACUUUAGUAUACAAACAAUAUGUAUGUGUAAUUUGGGGUUGAAAGUUAUAUAGUUAUCGACUUACAAAAAAAGUUUUUUGUUGUCUGCUACUUGAAAUUCAAAUUUCCCUGUAAAUGCUAAGCACCGCCCACUUGAAAGGUUAUGAACUUCUGUCAGCCAAUAUCUAGCGGAUGACUCAAAUCAAGUUUACAUGUAAAUGCAGAUUCAACACUAUACCAAAUUGCUGUCUACUCAAACACGUGUUUCUAUUUAUAAACACUCUAAUGUUAUCAGCAAAUCACUGGCAGAUAAACCCAGCCCGCUAGUUAAUGUAGGUCAACAUUUUACCACCACAAAAUCAAGCGAGAUCCGGCUUUUAAAUUAAAUCAUAAGUAAGCUGUGAACAUUCAUAAAGCAUUCUCACAAUUGCACUAAAACAUUACAAAACAAUAAAAUGCUUUUAAAGUAUAUAAUCAAUUGUAAGCAAAUAGUCAUGCAAUCAUUCUGGAAAAAAACUAUGGAAUAAAAAAAAGCAAUUUAAUACAAUCUACCCUCUUUGUUUCAAUGCAGCAAUUACCUGAUAGUGAGAGACUGGACAUGCUCCUCAUCUGGUAAUCUGAUUUUGUAGAUCUUUUCAAGACCUACUCCUUGAUUUGAGUCUCCUUGGGCUUUGUAGAGAGAGCAGAUCUUCGAAGUCCUGGCACUUACAUACACUGCCAAGUGGACGUGCAUGUAGGAGGCCCGACUUGCCCUCGUUGAUGUGCAGCAGUGCUGGAGUCAAGGUCA
Dreissena polymorpha is the source of this 3185-nucleotide long non-coding RNA. RefSeq lists it as uncharacterized. The transcript has 4 exons. The record is from RefSeq and is a predicted model, not a curated record. Lineage: Eukaryota; Metazoa; Mollusca; Bivalvia; Myida; Dreissenidae.